AAGUCGUAACAAGGUUUCCGUAGGUGAACCUGCGGAAGGAUCAUUACCAAAUCCAAAUAUACCCAAACUCCAUGUGAACUAUUGUUUAGUUUGUCUUUGGGAGAAAUAUGAAAAGAUAUUAGAUUUAAGUUUCUUUUGUCCUUGAGUGUUUCUCCCAAUAGAGUCCGGCGCAAACUUUUGUUUGUGUCCAGAUUCGAAACCCCCCCUCUUUUUUAAACCACUUGAUUUUUCUGUUGGAAUUUUUUUUUAUUAAUUUUAAAUAAAAGACAACUUUUAACGGUGGAUCUCUUGGCUCGUG
Molecule: unclassified non-coding RNA, 298 nt
Filed under: fungal sp.
Lineage: Eukaryota; Fungi
Description: partial internal transcribed spacer region
Rfam family: Eukaryotic small subunit ribosomal RNA (bases 1-46)
Source: RNAcentral